GUCCACGCUGUAAACGAUGGGCACUAGGUGUGGGGGGUGUCGACUCCCUCCGUGCCGAAGCUAACGCAUUAAGUGCCCCGCCUGGGGAGUACGGCCGCAAGGCUAAAACUCAAAGGAAUUGACGGGGACCCGCACAAGCAGCGGAGCAUGUGGUUUAAUUCGACGCAACGCGAAGAACCUUACCUGGGCUUGACAUGUUCCUGACCGCUCUGGAAACAGGGCUUCCCUUCGGGGCAGGAUCACAGGUGGUGCAUGGCUGUCGU
This 263-nucleotide ribosomal RNA is filed under the name uncultured bacterium. RNAcentral describes it as "partial 16S ribosomal RNA". It matches the Rfam family "Bacterial small subunit ribosomal RNA", at positions 793 to 1055 of the family's 1533-position model. The record is from RNAcentral.